Molecule: ribosomal RNA, 484 nt
Filed under: uncultured bacterium
Lineage: Bacteria
Description: partial 16S ribosomal RNA
Rfam family: Bacterial small subunit ribosomal RNA
Source: RNAcentral
AUUGAACGCUGGCGGCAUGCUUUACACAUGCAAGUCGAACGGCAGCGCGGGCUUCGGCCUGGCGGCGAGUGGCGAACGGGUGAGUAAUACAUCGGAACGUGCCCAGUAGUGGGGGAUAGCUCGGCGAAAGCCGGAUUAAUACCGCAUACGACCUGAGGGUGAAAGCGGGGGAUCUUCGGACCUCGCGCUAUUGGAGCGGCCGGUGGCAGAUUAGCUAGUUGGUGGGGUAAAGGCCUACCAAGGCGACGAUCCGUAGCUGGUCUGAGAGGACGACCAGCCACACUGGGACUGAGACACGGCCCAGACUCCUACGGGAGGCAGCAGUGGGGAAUUUUGGGCAAUGGGCGAAAGCCUGACGGAGCAAUGCCGCGUGUGUGAUGAAGGGCUUCGGGUUGUAAAGCACUGUUGGUAGGGAAGAAAAAGAGUGUGACAAACCCUGCGUUUCAUGACGGUACCCGAAGAAAAAGCAACGGCUAACUACGUG